GUGGAAAUAGGGAUCGCACCUUAUCGGUCAUUUUAAAUUGCUCCUUAUGAAAACGGCAGGGUAUGAAGCCCAGCAAAAAUUUUAAGACAAUCUUCAAGACUUCCUUGACUUUAAAUCUUUUGAAAAUUACAUGAGAAUUGAGAAUUCAGUAAAUAUCAGGAACUGUUGAGAACGUAUCAAGGUAAGUUAAUUUUUCAGGAAUGUCACAAAGUUCUGUCCUGGCUUGUGUGGCAUGUGCUGAAAGUUGGGUUUCCAUCUGAUUUAAAUUCCAUAAUUUCAAAGAUCAAUGAUGCAGGGUUGCCACAGUCAUAGAAUACCAGGAAGUCUCAGGGAAUUUUAAAAGUCAGAAAAAACUUUGAAAUGCCAGGGAAAAUGAUGAGAAGGUCCUGAAAAUUGUUUUUAAAGUCACCUAUAUUUGCUCUCUAGAAUGGGUUUGAUGUUUCGAACAAAGGAUUUUGCAUGAACAUUUUUUCAGUUUAUGUCUAUUCAACCGUCUUGUAUAUCUUUCAUUCCUUGGGAAAUUUCCCAAAAUGUUUCAGGUAAAUUGGGAGUUAGUCAGGGAAUUUAAUUGUCUAAAUUUUGUGGCAACCCUGGCGAUCUUAUUCUCCACUUUGUAGUUUCCCUCUGAUCACAGCUGCCUGAAUCAGUGAAUUCACACCACUCAAGUAGUAAUUUAGUAAAUUACUAUAUUUCUUAGAUUUUCUCUGAAUUUCAAAUUUUUCAUUUGCUGUUUUUCUCUGAUUACUAAUUUUUUUUUCUCUUAUCCAUGUUUUCUCCAACUGUCCUCUUAUUUGACGUUGUCUCUUGCCCUAAAUUGUGUCCCUGUUAUAUCCUCCUGGCGAAUCCCUUUAGCCACCGUCUAAAUGGACUCGAAUAGGCAAAGUUGAGCCCAUCUCUAACACUGCUUUGACUUCAGUUGUAUCUAAUCUUGAUCAGGAAACUGGUGGGAAAGCAUGGCCUAAUGUCAGCGGAGACGCAAAAGCACGGAGGCGAAAAUGUAUCGACUCAUUUCCGAGGACAAGCCAAGUUUCCCCCUCCAGUCACGGAAUUUUUUCAAUCAUGUAAUGGAAAACAAAGAAGUAAUGAAAGCUCUAUCCUUACUCUCCAUUAGCUCUCAAAAAAUAAAACCAGUCAUAACUGAGUUCCUUGAAAGCUGGUCUCCGUACAAAUUUUUAUGGGAAAAUGUUAUGAGUAAGAAAGCAGCUCAUACCAUCGGACUAGUUGAGGCAGAAGCCUCUCUUCGUAGACACAACGAGCUGGAGAGUGAAUUGAAUAUAGUCCCAGACUUGUACACUUUUCGAUCCUGUCUGGUUGUAUCUGUAGGUAAGAAUUCAUUUAAUUAUCAUCAUCUCAUCCUAUACUUUUAUGGAACCAUUAGAUGCUGCUCAGAACUUUUUUUUGCCAAUUGUCGUCACAUGCUUUUCAUU
This 1427-nucleotide long non-coding RNA is filed under the name Bemisia tabaci. RNAcentral's name for it is "lncRNA ENSSSA3NGG000961". The record is from RNAcentral. Lineage: Eukaryota; Metazoa; Arthropoda; Insecta; Hemiptera; Aleyrodidae.